GAUGAAGAACGUAGCGAAAUGCGAUAAGUAAUGCGAAUUGCAGAAUUUCCGUGAGUCAUCGAAUCUUUGAACGCACAUUGCGCCCACUGGUAUUCCGGUGGGCAUGCCUGUUCGAGCGUCAUUAUCCUCCCUCAAACCCCGGGUUUGGUGUUGGACCCAAGUUGUGUGAACAACUGGUCUCAAAGACAAUGACGGCGUCCGUGGGACCCUCGGUGCAACGAGCUUUUAGGAACACGCAUCGAGUUGCAAGGACCUUCCGGGCCGGUCUCCUUUACCAUUUUACAAGGUUGACCUCGGAUCAGGUAGGAAUACCCGCUGAACUUAAGCAUAUCAAUAAGCGGAGGA
Molecule: unclassified non-coding RNA, 345 nt
Filed under: soil metagenome
Description: partial contains 5.8S ribosomal RNA, internal transcribed spacer 2, and large subunit ribosomal RNA
Rfam family: 5.8S ribosomal RNA (bases 1-121)
Source: RNAcentral